AGAUAUGAACGUGGGCUCCCGGUCGGGGGCCUGUGCAAACGAAACAGUUUUGGCUGAAUACCCCAUUGAUUUCAAUAUGCAGGACGGCGGUAACGGGACGCAUCCCGAUAAGCCUGUCAAUAAGCGGAUUCGCCUCUGCAAAUUGAAACAUGACGUGUAUAGCUGAUAUUAGCAAAGCAGGGCUGUUCCGUGUGCUGUUGUUUUUGACGCAUUGUUGAUCUAUUGGUAACACAUGAAUCCCAUCCUAAUAAACCGUUUACAAAGAAAGCUGGGCUAUACUUUUCAGC
Molecule: regulatory RNA element, 287 nt
Organism: Brenneria goodwinii
Lineage: Bacteria; Pseudomonadati; Pseudomonadota; Gammaproteobacteria; Enterobacterales; Pectobacteriaceae
Rfam family: rncO
About the family: This family represents a bacterial regulatory element (rncO) found in the rnc leader sequence. The rnc operon is negatively auto-regulated by transcript stability. rnc, the first gene in the operon codes for RNase III which cleaves the long rncO stem II leading to transcript degradation and a reduction in translation.
Source: Rfam